AUACGGUCUAAUUAGAUUGAUGGUAAUUGCUGAUUAGAUUUUUUUGUUUCUGGAUAUGGUUGCUGUCUUUUUGAUUUGAUAUCAGUCGUUUCGUGCUGGUUUCACUGUUAUGGUUAUGAAAUUUGGGUUUUUUGGGACUCAGAUUGAUGUGGGUUGAAUGAGAUAAUUACCAUUAGAUUUGAUUUUUUUCAUGUGGGUCAGUUUUGUUUUGUUUUUUGAUACCUCAAUCUGUGAGUUUCUUACCUAUGGGUUUUGGUAGCGUGUUACCCUUUAAUUAUAAUCAUUGUUCCUACAAAAUCGAAACCUAAAUCACACAUUCGCCAUCUCUUUCGCGGAUCUGCAACUCUUUUUCGCCAUUUCUCUGGCUGAUGUGUAGAAACCCUUCGCUACUCUCCCAACUUCGACUUCAUCUCACGGUUGCGGAUGGAACAUUCUUGGAAGAACCUGGUUCUAGUGCUGUACCAACUAUUGAGAACAAAAAGGUUUCUGUUGGGACUUUGGAAUGGGUUCAAAGGCAUGGAGUUACCAUUUGAAGAAGUAGAAGCCCAUACGAGUCAAUCUAUUGUAUAUGUUGGCAUUGAUAGUACUCUUGCCGGUCUCAUUUAUUUUGAGGAUCAGAUAAGGGUAGAUGCUGGACAAGUUGUCAAAUCUUUAUCGAAGCAAGGGAUCGAUGUAUACAUGCUAUCUGGGGACAAAAGCAAUAACGCGGAGUACGUCGCGUUUGUUGUUGGUAUUCCGAAAGAGAAGGUAAGGAGUUCUUAAUUACUUCUUUCUUUGAUGGGAAACAAAAAUUUUAUCCUAUGCAGGCUAACUAUGAAGCAAAAUCUCGAUGUCCAGUCUUCAAAUCCUGAUGCCAUCACUUGAUCUUGCUCCAUCUUUGACCUCCUAGCCACUUUUUGCCCGGCCGAUACCCAGUAGCUUGAUGUAUCAAACCUAGAAGAUAGUUAUUGUAGUUUUUUCUAUUUUUGUUCGGACAUCUUGUAUGUACAUUUUCAUAUAUUUUAUAAUUAAAUACUUUUUCUUGGUUUA
RNA transcript from Pyrus x bretschneideri (Chinese white pear), 1029 nucleotides. It is a transcript of the gene named copper-transporting ATPase PAA1, chloroplastic, with no coding region annotated. Lineage: Eukaryota; Viridiplantae; Streptophyta; Magnoliopsida; Rosales; Rosaceae. The transcript has 3 exons. The record is from RefSeq and is a predicted model, not a curated record.